Molecule: long non-coding RNA, 477 nt
Filed under: Penaeus japonicus
Lineage: Eukaryota; Metazoa; Arthropoda; Malacostraca; Decapoda; Penaeidae
Description: uncharacterized LOC122260790
Source: RNAcentral
AUAGAGGAUACGAAGUACACCGGAUCUAUUGCAGGAUCAGGAGGUCGUGAGGAUGAAGAUUGUGAUCAAAGUUUUGUCUUUCCUUCUUGUGUUGUCAUCGGUGGUGCUGAUGACGAAUUCAAACAGGAUGACAAGAAAUUUUUUCGGCUCUCGAUCGGCGUGUCCUUGUGCCAUCCCUCCGUGUCCUUGCUAGAAAAAUAUAGAUGGCUGUCAAACACUAGCGUCAGUUGGCAACGUGGAGAGGACUCUGCAACCGCUGAACGUUGAAAGUAUUCCUCAGCGAGAUAUGUUAGGAGUCAUCAUGGUAUAUAUGCAGGAUACGUCACCUAUAUAAAAGCGCUUAUCACUAAAACUAACUGUGAGAAAGUCACCACUCAUUCAACUAGUUUGGAUGAUGUCUAAUACUUAAUCGGGAAAUUACGAUCUAAUUGUGAUCUAAUUUUUGCGUCGGAUCAAAGGAAUAAAGUUACCCUCCUA